GCAUCUGGAUAGCACAGCUGGUUAGAGCAUGGCGCUGAUAACGCCAAGGCUGCAGGUUUGAUCCCCAUAAGGAGCA
This 76-nucleotide transfer RNA is filed under the name Podarcis lilfordi (Lilford's wall lizard). Its description in RNAcentral is "tRNA.Ile". Lineage: Eukaryota; Metazoa; Chordata; Lepidosauria; Squamata; Lacertidae. The record is from RNAcentral.